GUGGGUAAGAUGGUAUUUCUUGAUGUUUUUUAAGGAAGGCUGAAAUAAUUAUUUCAGUUGUGAUGCUUGAUAUUGCAACCUUUGUUUUUUCUUGGCAGUGCAUUUUUACCACAUGCUAAUAUUAUCUGUGGCACGUUUUUUUCCACAGACAGAUGGCAAGAUGUGGACCAUACUUCACAAGGUAUUUACUCUGACUAAAAGAUGGGUAACAUAUAUGUCAAGCCACAAACCUACAGGCGUGCUCUAGGCUUGUGGUAAAAAUCAGGGUCAGGAGAUUUAGCGGCAGUCUUUUAAUUUUGAAUGGAUGUUACCUUAAUAUCAUUUUAGGAUAAGAAAUACAGAAUAAGCUAUUGCAAAGAACACAGCAGGUCAUGUAGUACAUCGUUCCCUUAUGUUCUGGGUGUGAAACAGCAUACAAAAUGGCAGCUGCUGUUUUCAAGAGUUUGAGGGAUUUCUGUAUAAUUAAUAUCUCCAUGACACUGCCUCUACCAUGCAGAGCAUGAUUGAAUCAUCUUCUUCAUACUAUGAUUCUUGAGACAGACAGCUCUCAGGAAUGACAGAAAGGUGAGAGCCCCUGGGCUGGCCAUGCUUUUGUUGAAUGGCCAGCUGAGGGGGCUUUCAAAGUGUUCUAAACCUUUAUGAUUCAGUUCUGAUGAAAAGACCUUAAGCUGACAUCAACUGGUGGAAAGUCACGAUCCUUGAGAAUUCAGGAAAUUCUGAGAAAAAUAAAAGUCAUGACCAAACCCAUGCAAGCUGUAAUGACUUUCAAGGAUGGCAGCCCUAAGUAUAUGGUUUGUGUGCUAAUAGCCCAGUUCAUGUUUUGAAAGACUCACAAUAGAGCAAUCGUCUUAUUUCCAAUAGCUCUUUGUUAUUUUUAUCAUUGUACAGUAUGUUCCAUGCUUAGAAAAUUCUUCUGAAAACAGGCAUAAAUUUAAUAAGAAAAUCACAUUUCAAGUGGUAUAUUUGUUCUCAGAGUACUGUUUUAGAAAAAAAAAGUCAGUAAGGCAAUACAGACUAAGGGCUUUGCACAGGUCACACAGUGAAUCAGUGAUUCAACUAAGAUAAGAUGAUUGAUUCUUGUUCUUUCCCUUUCUUUACCCCAACUGUUAGAUCCUCCUGCCAGUAUAAACAGUCUGCAUAACUUGGUAAGAAGGUUAAAAAGUCAUGUCAAGUUCAUUUAAAAUUGCUUGAACCACUUGUGGAAUGUAAACUCUAUGAUCGAGUUUGUAUUUAACUACAAAUCUUCAAAUAGUUCAGUACUGGGAAAAAAAAACUGAUUCAACUGCAAGCUACGGCUGCAUGAUAGGUACAGGCCAACAGUGUAGGUGGAUCUUCUAAUCUUCUGCUGGAGCCUCUAAAGUGAUUUACUAUCUCCAUAUAAUAGAUGUGGUCCAUUCUCAUUAGAAAAGUUAAACCCAAGUGGCUACAUCAGAAUUAGCUAACACACAGCCCUGCUAAACAGGGCUUGUUGGAAUAUGUAAGAAUAAAACUACUUAAUCAGCUAUUAAGUAUGAUGAAGAAAGACUCAUGAUGUUUCUGCAAUUUAGCAUAAUAAUGAAGCAAUACUCUGGGGGAAAAUAAAGGGAUAUAGGGCAUGCCCUGCUCUGAGUGGGAGGAGUAGUUACACCAUGUUCAGGCAUUCUGAAUCAAUACAGCUUUCGUUCAGAGCAGCUAAGGCAGGAUGGCAUCGACUUAAGAGCACACUAGCUCCCCCAGGCAUAACCCAGCUCCAGAUAAGCUUAUUGCAAAAGUAAGAACUAAAUGCCUUAAUUUCCACCUCUAUUAUUUGCACUGUACUUUCUUUCAGCUGGAAAGCAUGGAAAUUCAUAUUAAGAACUGUGUCUGCCGUCAAGCUCCCAAUAUCUGGAGAAGGGCAUCUUCUUGGUUCUGUAAUACUUCUGAGGACUGAAGGCAAAAAGACAGUCUGUGCUCUCUUGUUAGUUAAGGAUCGAGACUGCAUUCGUGCUCCAAGGCUCUGUCUGUCCUUACUAACUACCCAGUAGUUCCUUAGGGUGGAGAUCAGGGCAGGAGAGCUGCAGCAAAAGGCAAGUCUGGUUUAGACUGGGGUCUCUGCUCAUACAAACUGUGAAUGCAGCAAACUCAAACCCUUUGAUCACAACCACUGAAAGCUGCAUAGCCAGUCGAAGGCUGUCAAACCAGCAAAGGCACUUACUUCGGCACCUAGUGUUACUUGGCCAAAUCCAGCACUUGGAGCCAGAUCACUUGCUGUUUGCCACCUGCUCACUUCUCAAGAUGCCUGCAGUCCUACAGCAGUUCCGUAUCAGAAAAAGGCAUCCCUCAGACGCUUGCACAUCUCUGCAGGCAUGUCUAAAGCUGCCCAUGCCUGCAGAGAACUGAGCAGCCUCUUCCCACAGACCUGCCUGGGGACCCUGCUGCUCUCCUCUGUGGGGACCGUGCUGGAUGCUUCUCCCAGCCCCCUGUUCCAGGCCACUGCAGAGAGGGGAGACGCUGUCACAGCCUGAAUGGAAUUUUGGGUAACCCACCUGUGCCUGGAGGGGUGGAAAGCAGAGAUAGGCACACGGGUAUGUAUUGUAAAACACCCUUGGUGUCAGCUGCUGCUGCAGGAACAUGUAAGAGACAAUGCUUCAGUAUUCGUUUUAUAGAAAAUUCUGUUUUCCUGUAAAGCGUUAUGUGUAAGGUAAAAACCCCAGGUUCUCUUCAUCAGUAAGAGGUCUAAGGGCAAAGAUUUCUCUCUGUCUUUUUUUCUUCCCCUCCCCUGACACCAGAAAGCAUAAGCAAUUUUUUCUUAAAAAAAAAUUCAACAGGAGACAUUAAAACUCUGUUACCUGGCUGCCCUUUCUGUCCUCAAGUAAGUUAGCCUAGCCUGAAUUUCCUCUUCAUCUUGGGUAUAUUUUUUAUACACACAGAGCAAUCUUAUAAACCCAUCCCUAUCUCAGCCUGGAUGGUUUUUUAGGUUUGGAAAGCACGAUGGUGAAAAACUCUAAGCAGCUCUCAAAAUGGCAGCAAACAGGAAGAAUCCCAUAACAUUUCAGUGUGAGAAAAACUAAACCAAUUUGAUAUGUAGACUAGAGCAGCAGCUUACACUCCUGACCCUCUCCCUUCCCCUCUCUGGGUGCCCUGGGAGAGGGGAAACUAUUUUCCUUUUCCUUUUCUGUCUUUCCCCUCCCACUGCAUGGGCAGAUUAUUCUCCAUUGUGUAGCUAGAAUGGUAACCCUCUUCCCUCUGUUAUUUUUUCUCUUUCCCUCGGGCCUAGUCCAAUACCCACUUAACUUAAGAGAAUUAAUAGAUUCUUUUGUGUCUGACAUAAUGAGUCUGUGUCAGCAAAAGUCAGUCUCCAGCAAGAAUGGCAGGAGCUGUUGUGACACCAGGAGUAAAUGACUCCUUGAAACACUUCUGAGAAAACCAGACCACCAAUUUAUAACUGGUUUACAGUUAAGGCUUGGUGUUCCAAAGUAUUUUUUAUUUCUUCAAAGAAUUCAGUUGCUUCCAAGCAUCAGGACUGUUUCUUACUAAUAUCAUUAAAAAUCAUCACAGCAUUUAAACUUGCAGUAAGUCCUCAGUAAAACACCGUAAAUAAACUAAUGAGGAGAUUGGAAUUUUCCACCAUUGCAAACAUCAAGGCACUUUUCUGUCAGACUGUUUCACAUCCAGAACCUAACCCAAACAUUACCAAAAAAGGACAGUGAGGGAGCAGGGUAGUAUUAGGCAUGAGAGAGCACUCCUGUUGCUGUGAGCAUUGUUCCUUUAAUUUUUCUACUAUGAUGGGAAAUAACCAGAGACAUAGAGUACCAUGCAGCAACUGAUGAAGGGAGACUGAAUUUACUAGUAUUUCAAGAAGGUAAUAACCUGCUGAAACUGCAAUGAGUCAUUUGUACUAGAUGCUAAAAGAUUGUUGUGGCAUGAAAAAUAUAUAAACUUGCCUCAGUGUGUUGCUGUAACACACACGCUACUUGAAAUGAUUUAUUUUGACCUUGAUGUAAUCAAGAAGUAGUCAAGAAGAAACCCUGGUAGGGUUACAUCAGACCAACAGUGUGUGUACAAAAGAAAAAUAGUUUUUUUCUUUUCAAAAAAACCCCUAGCCUUUCAUGAAGUCUGAAGUAUAAAGAAAAGGAUGAACUGGACAGAAGCGUACAAAAUAUAGAACCACCUGAGUAAGACUGAGUCAAGGGAGGAAAAGGCGGACUGGAUAAGUCUGUGGGUAGAGCAGAUUUAUCCGGCUGUACUUGAGAGCAGGACCUGGCCCUCAGCCACAGCUGCAAGAUGCUGCUUACAAGGAUGGGGCAAGACUGCACAGGAAGCAACGCAGCUUACCCUGCUGGGACAUAGAGGUGCUAAAUUAACCCAGGGAGCAGUUCUUCAAGGAGAUGUAAAUUAACCAGGAGGUUACCCCUUUCAGUGGAUAUCAGUGCAGGUCUCAGCUUCAUGCGGUGACAGGAAACAGCAAGGGAGAUGAAAUCAGGGGUAAAAUAAGCCAGUAAUUUGCAUGCUUGCCUGGGAGUUAGUCACCGCAGACUAUCUCUGGGCAAGCCACAUCUACCUGUGCCUCAUAGGAUAAUAAUAUUUUCUUAUGUCACCUCAGUUCUGUAAAAUUAAUAUAUGUAAAGUCCAGUAGCCAUAGCAAGAGGGGUGACGAAAAUACCAAAGACUCACUCCUAGCAAAUGUUCAAAUACCUGAAAAAAAAGUGUCUAAAUAAAGUUUGAGCCAUCCUGUGAAUGAUUUUAUACUGCAUGGAAAGUCCCAAGCCUGCUAUACCAGAAACAUUGCUCCGGCAAGCUGUAUCCCUCUUAAAAAAGAAGCCCUCAGCCAUUAUCAGCCUAAAGCACCUGCAGAUGGUCUGCACAGGACGUGAAUACAAACAAAAUAAAACCAGCACCAGUCUUUCUCCCCUCCCUCAAACAAUCUCUCUUCAGUUUUCUGCUACAAUUUCUGACCCGUCUUCCCAAUGCUGUGCAUCCCUGGCAUUUCCACUCCUUUCCAAAUCACAACCCUUGGCAUUUCUUACAAUCACUUUGCUCAUGUUGCCUGCCUUUCUAUCUGCCUAAUUUUCCUGCAUGGUUUGAACCACUGUUCUUUUAAUGGUAGGAGACCAUCUGUGCUGCUGUGUAACUACUUUUUUCCUCUGAGGACAAGCAUUUAAUGAGAUGGCUACUGCAGUCCUUUCCUGUGCAGUUAUUACCGUCAGUGACAUGAUGUUUAAAGGGUUAUCUAAAGCCCCCAUCCUGGCAUUUCCUAAUGGCAUGUGUUUUGCUUGCUAGAUUAUGCCUGUUGCCAGUGGGGCGAUGAAGACAUAAAACUUAGCAACUUCUACUGAUUUCAUUAUCUUAAGUGCAAAAUUACUUUGUAGCUGAAAGCAAAAAACUUCCUUGAGCAAGCCAGGCUAUUACAGUGGAAGAAUAUAAAAAUACAUUCUGGAAAGAGGGCGGGAAAAACAAUAUAAACAAUAACACAGGAAUAUGUUCAGCAUUUAAAUCUGUCACAGCAUCAAAGCCCACGGUACAGAUUGAAGCGGGAGGCAGUCAUGCAACCCAAGGGUGAGUUAGAUAACCCUCGGGAACAGCAAGGAGGUCUUCUCAGGGAGCCAACAGCAAGCCUGUGCAGGUUGGUGACAGGAGAGGGAGGCGGCACUGCAAAAACAUUCCUUGCUUUGCCUUUUGUUUUCAUUCCUUAUUCAUCGAGAUGCCGAUUAAAAAACUGGAACAUGGAGAAACGUACCAUUGCAAGGGAACUACAGCUCCUCUAGUCCAUUUCCUCCUCAGCAUCCUGCAAAUUGCAAGGUCCCCAGGGAUGAUUAAGCUGAUGUUUUCAAGAAGGCAAGGAAGUGAAAUGGGUAUAAACUCAGCAACCUCAGUUAAAGCAUGGGAGAAUACCAAUGUGACCUCAGGCUGGGCUCCACUGAGACCGAUUCAUGUGCUCCAGACCAGCACCAUUCUUCUAUGAUGUCUUAUAUUUUUUAGGAAACAAAGACUAGAGAAUGAGUAUAUCCUUUUCAAAGCUGGAAGGUAGAGUUGAUCAUUUGCUAAGGGGCUCCUUCAACAGUAAAUGACAGGUAAAUUAAACACUCAAUGACUCCCAAAGUGCUGGGAAGGUGGGAAAGAGAAGGGGGAGAGCAAUGGGAAGAGAAGCAUAAGCCAACACACUGUGAAUGGAUGCAGCUGGGUGAAUAUGUCAGGUUUAUGGAAAUGACAGAUUUUAAACACUGGCUUUUUGUGUUGCAGUAAAAAUAAGUUUCAGGAUGACACUGAGACAUUCAGUGUUGUGAACAGUUCCUGACUUUCCCUUUACGAAGAUACAAACAGGCCUGAUUAAUCUUUCAGUUAGGUGCUUGCAGGUGAGGGCAAUCUCACUGAAAUCAGGACAUCAGUUCUGUACACACGGGAGUUGAGACCUUAAUCAUAUGCGCUGUAUUUAUAAAACGUAAUAUUAACCUGGACACCCAGAUUUCCCUCUGUUUUCAACUACAGGCAAUAUUUGUCUGUAUUUCUGAAUCUCACAAAGACUGAAUUUAAAAAAAACCCAAACACUAGCUUUGUUCACAAAGGAGGAAAGUGGUUUUUUUCCAUUUUGUAUUACCUCUAUGGCAUGUGCCUGAUCAUUGCUGACUCUAGUAUAUACUAACCAGAACAAUCAUCAUGAAACUCUUACAAAAUGUGUUUUACAUCGCAAGAGUAUUUUUUAUACACUCCCUCCCUAUUCAAAGGGAAGAGGAAGAUGUUAACCUUGUCCAUUCAUAGUGCUGAGAAAUGCAAAGGAGGAAAAUAAUCAAUGUACGCACGGAUCUAAACCAGCAUUUUCCUGAUACUGUCACUGGCAACUGUUCACAUGUUAUACAGCACAUAAUCAUCUAAGUGAUGAAUCUAAAACAUUGUCCUGGGAAUUCUGAUAAAGGAUACCCAGCAACCUCUUUCGUUACAACUGAAGUGGUAGUUCUGGUGGACAGAUUGCACAGUUUCAUACUGGGGCAGGGAGGAGACGUUGGUCUUGGAAACAAAAGUAGAUCUUCAUUUUGUGUUAGGGACAGAUUUAUUUUAGCAGAAUGUUGUUAGCUGAAGUCAAAAUAAAAUAUUUCAUUUGAGUCUGGAUUAAAUGUUUUGUUAGAUUGAAUGAUUACAUUCUUCAUCCUUUUGUAUCAGUCUGGAUCAUGAAUGGUACUUUUGCUACUGUUUUUCCCAGAGGACACAAAUUUCAUUUUUGACCAAAUUAGUGGUUUAAAUUUGCCAGUAAUUAUCAGAGUUAUCAGUAUCGAUACAAAUUGGUAAUUUAUUUUCAUUAGUAUUUUGAAAAAGCCUACUAACCAAAUGCAAUACUAAUUGGGGGUGGGGGGAAGCGAAUAUUAACAUUUUAACCCAGUAAGCCAAAAGAUAAGCCAGCAGUAGAUAAAUAUGCAACUUAGUGUUCUGACAGGAGUGUGCAUCUGUUUCCUAUUAAUUUUGCUUGAGACAAGGAAGGAAUCAAGGUUUUCCAUGAUUUAAUUUGAACAGCAAUUUGGAUUUCCUGUGCCUCAGCUGGAGGCAUUAUUGGUAUGAGACAAGAAAGGCCCUAACUAUCUUAGGAGGUUCAUGUUUCACGAAGAAUAAUACCUACAGAAAUUCAAACAGGAUGUCAAAAAGUGACAUACGGUGCUUUCAGUACUCUCCAGUGUUCCUAAUAUAAAUUCACAAGGCAAAACAGUAUAAAGUCGUAAGUUUCAUUCUUUCUUUUUGCCACAAAGACAGCAACCAACUUGGAAAAGUCAAUAAGCUGACGACGCUGCUCAGCAUAUUCAUCCAAUGGAUCUCUCUCCAUCGGAGAAGCUGAAACCCCCCAUCGGAUUCCCUGAAAAUAACAUUACUGACCCAAGUAGCCAAGACUGUUGUUCACAGAGUGGGACAGAGUCUGGACAGACAGCUGCCAAGCUCUGGUUAGGCAUGUUUUUCAGAAAGGGCUGAACACACUACCUGUGACAGCAAGGUCCUGUGGUUUUUCUCAAGCUGCGUACACAAAAGUGGAGACACUCCAUAUUCUCACUUGCUUGUUUAAACCACGGCCUUAGUUCCUGUGACUAACAUAAUGCCCAUGGCAUAUUUUGCAUGAAUAAUUAAACAUUAUUGGGGAGUUAAUGGUCGUCUGUUACCUCCUUUUAGUGGAUUUUUUACAAAGUACGCUUCACUGUCUUUUCCUUUUGAAUGAGGAAGGGAAUUAUUCUGAGCCAUCCAAAUUGUGAAGAAGUUAAUAUAACAGCACCACUCCAUCUCUUCUUCACGUGAAAUCCUGGUCCCACUGCAGUCAGCUCUGGAUUUUGCCAUUGGUCUCGAUACAGCUGACAUCUUUACUUCUUGAACUCCCUGAUGGUUGAGAAAGGACUGGAGAGGCAAGUGGAGAACCUGGGAUUUUUAAUACCUUCUGUGCUCAGGCAACUAUGAAGUCACACCAGUCAGGAGAAAACAGAGCAUAACUAUCAGUACUACUUUAACGUCUCUUGAAGAUGAAAGGAAUCAUGACCAAUGAGGCCCUGUGUUCCUCCAUACAAAGAAACUCUGAUCUUGACAGACUGGUUUGUCUCUGCCUACAGACACAACACCUGUUUGGAAGUGAGGAAGUGCAAAUAACUGGUGUUCGGCAUUCCAGCUGGUACUCUGCAGAUAAACACAUGUAUGGAGCAUAGUAGCGCAGUAGGUUUCCUGCCAGCUGGAAUGACUGCUGUCCCUUUUAUGGCAUACCAACACUUCAACAUAUUAUAUCUUUUCACACAGUGACAGUAAGAAGAUUUUGUCGUGAAGUUUUUGGUUUGGGAUUAAGACCGGCAAUAACAGAUUGUUCUUGCUAGUUUUAGCUAUGUUAUUCUUCAGUGUAGUUCAUCUCAACCAAUGACUUCAGAACAUUAAAGGAAAAUAGUGUAGUAUGAAACAGCAGGAGCUCUGAGUUGUUCCUUUAAACUAAUAAAACCCCACUGAAAUCCACUGAUAUAAAUCCACCAUGGAGCGGACAACACCUAGCAAAAUAAUGCCUGGAACUGUGUUUAUUUUAGGCUUACCACUUACCUAUUUCAAAGAUAAUUUUUAUAUUUCAGUAAAAUACAGGUUCAUGAGAAUAUAGAUGUACCUAGAAAUGGACAUGAACAAUGAAAAGCCAUCUGGCAUGAUGCCCAAAGUUGUACCUGAAUAAAGUUGUAAGGUAUUACCCACCCUCAGUCAACUGAUCAGUGCUAGAACAGUAUUUUUUUUAAUUGAAAGGCUUAAUUGGCAAGUCAAACAUCCACAUGUUGAGCAACACAGCUCAGAACACACUUCUCCUGGUGAAUAUAAAAAAUAAUGAUUUUCCUUUUCAGUAAAUAGUCUUUGAAGUCAUACGCACUUGCUUUCUGUGGUGAGGAUAAAGCAUGAUAUUAGCAUUAAUGUGGGUCUUUAGUAGAGAAUGUUCAUGAUAGGUUAGUGUUAAAAUUAGGGUGAUGACAAGGUUGUGUGCACCUGCUUUCUGUCCCAUUUCAUGUGUUUGCAGAUUAACCCAUUUAUUUUUAUUCCUGACACUUUUAUUUUAUCUCUGUAGAUGUCCUGCCAUUGGAUCAAUACAUUCUUCUUUACCAAAUAAGAGGUACAUAUCUAGGUGCAUAUUGAACAAUUUCAGGCUGUUCAUUUCAGCUGUGAAAGCAGGUAUCUAUAAGGAAAAUGUGGUUGGCAUCAAUAUUUGCAUUCACAGCAUCUGUCUUGUCAAACAUCAGACUAGGUCAUACAAAAACCAAGUUUUGGGAGCAAGUUCAGAGUAUUGGUUCACAGAUUAAGAUUGGGUAAGAUUGGUAAAAUUUUACCAAUCUGUGGGUAAGAUUUUACAGUCUGUGUUACUGAAGAGAUCAGAACAAACGUUUGGGAUAGUACCUUCUCAAUUUAAAACCUGACUCCUACUGGGUUGCUCAUGGAUAACUUUGCAUGUAUAACUAAACUUACCAAGAAAAUUGACACUAAAAUGGCACUAGUCUCUGGUUUUACCUGGCUUUGGUAGUCAACCUGGAAGGGAAGGAAUUAACACGUCCAUAAUUUGGAAGCAGAAAGUCAGUCUCUUGUUCUGCAGUGUGCAGAGACCUCCUGCUGACAGCAGAAGAAGCAGCAAAAAAUGCUCCCUCUCUUAUUUUCUAGUUUGCUGUUCCCAGAAAUCUCUCCCCAAAUGUUUAAUCUUGUCACUCACCCAGAAUGUUUAAUCUUUCUGUAACACAAGAAUCAUACUGGUAUGUUUCUGGAAGUCAUAACUAAAAUAUUUGCCUACGUAUUUUUAGCAAAAAGCUGUGAGAUAAUGGAGCAAUUAAGGCAUCUUUCUAUGGAUCCAAGAGAGUAUAUCAGGGACUUAGUCUGCACUUGUGCUGAAGGCUACACCGAUAAAUACAGAUGUGUGUGGUAUUUAAUAAUCUAAAAAGGGAACUAAAAGGCAGCUUGAAAAUUAUGCUAGUUAUAUUGGCUGCUUGUGUGAUGCUAACUAUACCCAGAAGUAUAGUCAUACUCAGAGGGUAUCUUUGCUUUCUUACUUAGUACAUGGGCCUCUACUUUUAAUUUCUCUAUCUGCAGAUACUGACCUUUUUCUGUUUCUCAGUAUGAAAGGGACAAAUGUAAUUUGAUAUUCAAGAGCACUGGAGAAACGGGAAUUUGAAGAGAGAGAAUUUAUUAAGCACUGAGAAGAGCUCCUACAGACUCUCCUAUGUGACAGUCUGUUUCUGCAUGAGAGGUUUUCUUAGGAUUAGUCAUAGCACAAGCAAAAUUUUUAUUAUAUUUUCCAUAUAAAAAGAAAAAUGCCAAAUAGUGUAAUUCUCAGUAUAAAGCCCAGCACUCUGGGUAGAAUAAAAGUAAAGAUAAGGCCACACAACAAAUGCUUCUACUGAGAUCAUGUUAAAGUAUACAAAGCAAUUAAAAGCCUUACUAGACCAAAUGAUUUCUAAUGUCAAGAGGAGCAAAUUCAGACUGCAGUUGAAGAAUGAAAGAAAUGAGUCAAAUGUGAAAAAUGGGAGAACUCAUUUGAGAUAUCUUACUGCUUCUUCAAUGACAGACCCAUUAAUAUAACAUAAAAUGAAGGCGGUGGGGCAUUUACAGCUGUCUACAUACAGGUGUCUAAAUUAAGUGUUUUGAGUCAGGCCAUGGAGGCAUGCAUCUCUCCACUGACUGCAUAUGACACAUAGGGAUCUUCAUCUCUGAAUCUUUUUGUCUGCUAAAGCAGCUGUUGUGAAUAUACACCCCCCCAAACCCCCCCUCCAGCUUCCACAUAUUCACAAAUUCUGCUUUCUUUUGCUGUUAUUUCACUUGUGUGUAAUAGCAUUGCCUAAAUUUUUAGAAAAUGUUUUAAUAGCCUUGAAGGACAGAUGAUACAAAGAUGCAAUGGGCUAUUAUUUAUUUAAUUACAACAACUAACAUGUGAUGAUUCAGGUUUCCUUAGUAAUUCAGGUAGAGUAAUACUGCUGAAGUUUACAUAAAGUAUAAGCUCUAAACUUCAACACUCGUCUUUCUGUCAGUGACAAUAGACGUCCAGCUCAGAUGGAAGGAAAGUUGUUGUAUGCAUCUGCUAAUUAGGAAACUAAGAAUUUGUUCACCUUAUUAUCCUUAGAUUAUGUUACAUUAGUCAGAUUCCUUUACAUCACCAAACACCGAAAGGGCGAGCUGGCCUUAGCAUUCAGUUUGAUAUUUCAGACUCUCACUUAGUCCCUGGAAGGGGAGCUGCAAUAUUUCCAUGAGUUUACCAGAAAAUUCAAGUGUUGAUUUAGGUGUAAAUGCAUUAGAGUAGUUACUCUCAAAAGUAUGAAAAAUGCUUACCCUGGAUUUGCCAAAUUAAUAAACCUGAAGAAUUAAAAAGAUUCAGUUUUCAACAUUUCUGAAAAAAGAUUAUGUUAAUUUCAACAAAUACCUAUGAAGGGUCAAUUUUAUUCAAGAGAAGCUGUACAUUUCAGAAAGUUACACAUAAAAAAUAUUCUUAGGCAAAUUAUAUAUUGAUAGAUAUAAAUAUAUAGAUACAUAUGUAUAUACAAAUGUCAAGGCAAAAUCUGAUAGCUGAUACAGACACAUCCAAGGGGAGAUUUAGGGAAUGAGUUUGGACAAUGGGAGAAACCACAAAGCUGUUAGAUUAAAGAAGCGAAAUCGGCAGUGGGGAAGUGUGUUUUCCUCUGGACAGAAGACAUGAGUCGUUGACAUUUAUAUACGGUCUAGAAUCAGAUGAAAAAAAAAAAAUGGCCUAGAGAGAUGCCAGGACUUCUUGGGACUGGUCCAUCUGAAAACAGGAUAGAAACUCCCUUUGUUGUGGUAUUUUGGUACCUUAGCUCCCAGAAGAAAUAAGUUUAAGGAAGAAGAAGACAUCCAAGAAGACCUAUUUCACAAUUUUCUUCUUGACUACACAGAGGACAAGUCCCCUGUAGGUCAAACAGCUGCCACUGGGGAGACUUCUGGGUGAGAAAUUGCUGUGUUUACUCAGCCUGAAAAUGGCCUGCCUCCUGUCUACCUCUAGCCCAUUGUUCAAUCAACCAGCUCAAAGACAGAAGAGAACUGGAGGAUCUCUUCCCCUCUUUGUGCCAAGUUACAUUUAAAGCUCACAUAAAAAUAUGAUGGGGAUGCUUGUGUGAUACAACCUACAUGGCAGCAGAAAUAUGACAUAGUCUUUCAUGCUUUGGUAAUCUGUCAUUUAAGGGACUUAGAUUUUAGUCUUUGCUAAAGUGAAGACAAAAAUCGGUGUUUAUUCAUUCUCAGAAAGCCCAUCAGAUAAUCAGAUGAUUGUUGUUAUCCCUAGAUAGAAAGUGGGGAAGCAAUCAGAAUUAGUGUGACUGAGCAGCUUAGAAACUGUUAAUUAAUUAUGUUAAACUUCUGAUAUGAAGUUUCAUAGCUGUACUGACCAGAUAGAGUUUUGGAGGGUCUACAGUCCUCCAAAACUUCUAGUCCAUAUGUGCCCUCCAAAUUGUUUGCACUACCAGUUCAUCUCCAUGGGUUUGAGCGACACUGACAGCAUUAGCAAGGGAUAGCUGCCAGCUCUAACCAGUACUCAGAGACUAGGCUGAUUAGACACGCUGAGAGCUAUUGACAGCAAACAGGCUUUGCCUAACUUCAGCAAACUGAGUAAACUGAGGUGAAGCCAGGCAGCUCAACAUGAGCUUCCAGAGGAGUCAGGCUUAACCGACUAAAUAAUAGGAAAAGAUUAAUGUUUAGCCUUCUUUUACCAGUAAAGGCAAUUCAGCUCAUUCUCAUGCAGCUGGAACCAUUCCUCCUUAUAGGGAAUCAAAACAAUAUGUGCAUGUUGAGUCUUAGAUUAGCAUAGAUGACAUGUUCUGGAUUUUAUUGACACAGGGAGAGUAACCAAGAUAAAGAUUUCCAUACAUCAUAAGUGUAACAGAAAAAAUUGUGUGUGCAGCCACUAUACUUGAAAGGAAGACUAAUAUUUGAAACAACUUUCCUCUUCUGAAAAUUAAAUAAUAAAUAUAGAUUAAAAUGGAAUGCCCACAUGGGGGAGUUAUUGCAGAACAGUUAGGCGAGCUUCUCUGUUAAAGCAAGUACUCCUAGCCUUUGGGGAGAAUGAUUGAGCCAAAAUUACAGUUGACGAUGGUAUGAAACAGAACAGUACUAUUUUCUGUAAGGAAAGCACUGAGCACCUCUCAUUUUUGUCUUCUUCAUAUGGCAGAUUUGUCUAUUUCAUUAUUUAUUUUCCACAUAGGUAAAUAGUAGUGCCAAAUAUGCCACGUAGAAUAAAAAAUCUGAAUGUCCAAAAAAUGUCUGAAUGUGCCUAUGAAAAUUAUUUCACACUUAUUGAAAAAGUAAUCAUACUUAAAAAAUUAUGUGCAGCCAGGUUUGGGUAUCAGCCCCUGAUUGAACAAGAAUUUUGCAAAGAGCUUAGUACCAUCUAUCGUUGUUAAAGCUUCAGACAAUGUAAACUGGAAGUGACAUGUAGCUGAAAGGAACUUCACAGAAUUUGCUAUGAACACAAUGGAGCUGGCUGUAGCUGUUCAAACAGCUCUCUUCAUAUCCAAGAGUCAGAAGCACGCAUGCACUCAUCUGCUAGGGCACUUCGAAUGCCCCUGGCAAAAUAGUGAUGCAAUAGAUAUUGUGUGUCCACAAAACAAAAUCAAACACAUGUCAUCUUUGGUGGUUAAUCUCAAACAGUAAUAAAGGUACGCAGGAAGAAAAUGGAUAACAGAAAGUGAUUUUAAUUUUUAAAACUUCACUGUGGCAAGAAAAAGAAGUCUCAUAACUGUGGAGAACUAGAAAAAAAGCAGGCUACAGAACAGUUCUUCCCCGGUAGAUGCCAGUGAGAUAUAGAGAAAUCCCUGGAGAACUGCAUAUUUUGGCAUGAGCAACUUAACAAAAGAAGAAUUUCAGGCACCCAGAUCGUACAUUUCUGGUAUUAUAAAUCAAAUUAAUUUUAGCAUUUAUGUGAUAUUGUAGAGAUGCAUAAGAUUUUUUGACCUUGCCAAGAGAUAAGUUUAUAGUUUAGUGUGAUCUGAAAGAGAACAAGCAAAUGAAGAUCACUGUGAGACUGGAAAGGCAUGUCAAUGGGUAGAGGAUGUGUUUGGAAGUGAAAGUGAAAUUUUAUUUUCAGUGUUUAGCAUUAACAUUUAAUAUUAAAACUUAUGACAGUUAUGAAACAAGCAAAUGAGCACUUGUACUCCAAAGUGACACAACCACCCCUGACAGACAAAUGGCAGACUUUCCUGAUACUACUAAUAGUGGCUAUAUGCUAAGUAUAGCUUUGGUGUUGCUGAACAGCCAAAACAAAUGUUUAUAAGUCAUA
Molecule: non-coding RNA, 14698 nt
Organism: Phalacrocorax carbo (great cormorant)
Lineage: Eukaryota; Metazoa; Chordata; Aves; Suliformes; Phalacrocoracidae
Source: RefSeq, a predicted model, not a curated record